GAAUGUGCAGUCAAUCUGUCUGAGACAUCUGUCACUGCAUUGAUCCCCAGAGGUGAUUUGAAUGAUCAGGCUGGUGAAGCAGGUUGCCCCUCCCUACUUCACUGACCCAAGUACAUAACCUCUCAAAGCUUCCACUAUUGGAAGGAGCUGACCAAUUCUAAUAGAGGAGGGUCAUUCUCUGGUCAGGGGUAGAGGAAUAGAGGUAUAUAGUUAGGGGUUCAUUUCCCUGCUCCAACCUCUACACAAGCUCUUGAGUUCAAUUACCCAUGACUGCUAUUUACUCUGCAUUCAAUCACUCACUCCCUCCAUAGCCUGAGGUAAUGCUAGAGGG
RNAcentral lists this small nuclear RNA (331 nucleotides) under Equus asinus (donkey). RNAcentral's name for it is "7SK RNA". It matches the Rfam family "7SK RNA". Rfam says of the family: 7SK was discovered as an abundant small nuclear RNA in the mid-70s but a possible function has only recently been suggested. Two independent studies have found that 7SK RNA binds the CDK9/cyclin T complex (known as elongation factor P-TEFb). P-TEFb activates transcription by phosphorylating the C-terminal domain of RNA polymerase II. The record is from Rfam by way of RNAcentral. RNAcentral also lists the same sequence under 1 other name. Lineage: Eukaryota; Metazoa; Chordata; Mammalia; Perissodactyla; Equidae.